This is a long non-coding RNA of Drosophila gunungcola (fruit fly), 408 nucleotides long. RefSeq lists it as uncharacterized. The transcript is spliced from 3 exons. NCBI's taxonomy places the organism in Eukaryota, Metazoa, Arthropoda, Insecta, Diptera, Drosophilidae. The record is from RefSeq and is a predicted model, not a curated record.
AGAAAUUAUUGCAUCACUACUUACAUCAAAAUAUCCUAGUUCAUCUCCCAACAAAAGAAAACGACCAUCAAAGGGGAAUUUCGUCGCGAGUAGUACUCCUUCUGCUGAUCAAGUAUUAUACCAUCUAGAGCAGUAUAGAAGAAGUUGCAGGCAUGGUACAGGUACUGGCCUUUACGUUCAUGAUAUGAUGCAGCGGGCACUGCAAUCCGCGCACUCUCACAGUAAUGAGGUCACAAAGAAACAAUUUAGCGAUCUGUUUGCACUGGCAGCGGAAGACGAUACAACAGCAGUUGGGCGACGCGGUGGAAGUGGCCGUGGGCGUAAGCAGCCUGUUGGAAAAAAGGAUGCCAACAAUCAUAGCACCACCAAUAAGAAGAAUUCUGAAAUGAUGAAAACAAUAUACUCUUC